GGGCGCAUAGCGCAGUGGUAGCGCGUCCGCUUUGCAAGCGGAAGGCCCCGGGUUCAAUCCCCCGGUGUGUCCA
This 73-nucleotide transfer RNA is filed under the name Pythium insidiosum. RNAcentral describes it as "tRNA-Ala". It matches the Rfam family "tRNA". From Rfam's summary of the family: Transfer RNA (tRNA) molecules are approximately 80 nucleotides in length. Their secondary structure includes four short double-helical elements and three loops (D, anti-codon, and T loops). Further hydrogen bonds mediate the characteristic L-shaped molecular structure. tRNAs have two regions of fundamental functional importance: the anti-codon, which is responsible for specific mRNA codon recognition, and the 3' end, to which the tRNAs corresponding amino acid is attached (by aminoacyl-tRNA synthetases). tRNAs cope with the degeneracy of the genetic code in two manners: having more than one tRNA (with a specific anti-codon) for a particular amino acid; and 'wobble' base-pairing, i.e. permitting non-standard base-pairing at the 3rd anti-codon position. The record is from RNAcentral. Lineage: Eukaryota; Oomycota; Peronosporomycetes; Pythiales; Pythiaceae.